CAGUAGCCGCGGUAAUACAGAGGGUGCAAGCGUUAAUCGGAAUUACUGGGCGUAAAGCGCGCGUAGGUGGUUUGUUAAGUUGGAUGUGAAAUCCCCGGGCUCAACCUGGGAACUGCAUCCAAAACUGGCAAGCUAGAGUAUGGUAGAGGGUGGUGGAAUUUCCUGUGUAGCUGUGAAAUGCGUAGAUAUAGGAAGGAACACCAGUGGCGAAGGCGACCACCUGGACUGAUACUGACACUGAGGUGCGAAAGCGUGGGGAGCAAACAGGAUUAGAUACCCCAGUAGUCCCUGUCUCUUAUAC
This 301-nucleotide ribosomal RNA is filed under the name uncultured bacterium. RNAcentral's name for it is "partial 16S ribosomal RNA". It matches the Rfam family "Bacterial small subunit ribosomal RNA", at positions 509 to 807 of the family's 1533-position model. The record is from RNAcentral.